AGAACGAACGCUGGCGGCAUGCCUAAUACAUGCAAGUCGAACGAACUCUUCGGAGUUAGUGGCGCACGGGUGCGUAACGCGUGGGAAUCUGCCCCUUGGUUCGGAAUAACAGUUGGAAACGACUGCUAAUACCGGAUGAUGACGAAAGUCCAAAGAUUUAUCGCCAAGGGAUGAGCCCGCGUAGGAUUAGCUAGUUGGUGAGGUAAAGGCUCACCAAGGCAACGAUCCUUAGCUGGUCUGAGAGGAUGAUCAGCCACACUGGGACUGAGACACGGCCCAGACUCCUACGGGGGCAGCAGUAGGGAAUAUUGGACAAUGGGCGAAAGCCUGAUCCAGCAAUGCCGCGUGAGUGAUGAAGGCCUUAGGUUGUAAAGCUCUUUACCCGAGAUGAUAAUGACAGUAUCGGAGAAUAAGCCCGGCUAACUCCGCGCCAGCAGCCGC
Molecule: ribosomal RNA, 441 nt
Filed under: uncultured soil bacterium
Lineage: Bacteria
Description: bacterial SSU rRNA
Rfam family: Bacterial small subunit ribosomal RNA
Source: RNAcentral